AGAACGAACGCUGGCGGCAGGCUUAACACAUGCAAGUCGAGCGCCUCGCAAGAGGAGCGGCAGACGGGUGAGUAACACGUGGGAACGUGCCCAAAGGUACGGAACAACUCCGGGAAACUGGAGCUAAUACCGUAUGUGCCCGAAAGGGGAAAGAUUUAUCGCCUUUGGAUCGGCCCGCGUCUGAUUAGCUAGUUGGUGGGGUAAUGGCCUACCAAGGCGACGAUCAGUAGCUGGUCUGAGAGGAUGGCCAGCCACACUGGGACUGAGACACGGCCCAGACUCCUACGGGAGGCAGCAGUGGGGAAUAUUGGACAAUGGGCGCAAGCCUGAUCCAGCCAUGCCGCGUGAGUGAUGAAGGCCUUAGGGUUGUAAAGCUCUUUCGCCAGGGACGAUAAUGACGGUACCUGGAUAAGAAGCCCCGGCUAACUUCGCGCCAGCAGCCGC
RNAcentral lists this ribosomal RNA (444 nucleotides) under uncultured bacterium. RNAcentral describes it as "SSU rRNA". It matches the Rfam family "Bacterial small subunit ribosomal RNA", at positions 26 to 518 of the family's 1533-position model. The record is from RNAcentral.